GACGAACGCUGGCGGCGCGCCUAACACAUGCAAGUCGAACGAGCGAGAGAGAGCUUGCUUUCUCGAGCGAGUGGCGAACGGGUGAGUAACGCGUGAGGAACCUGCCUCAAAGAGGGGGACAACAGUUGGAAACGACUGCUAAUACCGCAUAAGCCCACAGCUCGGCAUCGAGCAGAGGGAAAAGGAGCAAUCCGCUUUGAGAUGGCCUCGCGUCCGAUUAGCUAGUUGGUGAGGUAACGGCCCACCAAGGCGACGAUCGGUAGCCGGACUGAGAGGUUGAACGGCCACAUUGGGACUGAGACACGGCCCAGACUCCUACGGGAGGCAGCAGUGGGGAGUAUUGCACAAUGGGGGAAACCCUGAUGCAGCGACGCCGCGUGGAGGAAGAAGGUCUUCGGAUUGUAAACUCCUGUUGUUGGGGAAGAUAAUGACGGUACCCAACAAGGAAGUGACGGCUAACUACGUGCCAGCAGCCGCGGUAAAACGUAGGUCACAAGCGUUGUCCGGAAUUACUGGGUGUAAAGGGAGCGCAGGCGGGAAGACAAGUUGGAAGUGAAAUCUAUGGGCUCAACCCAUAAACUGCUUUCAAAACUGUUUUUCUUGAGUAGUGCAGAGGUAGGCGGAAUUCCCGGUGUAGCGGUGGAGUGCGUAGAUAUCGGGAGGAACACCAGUGGCGAAGGCGGCCUACUGGGCACCAACUGACGCUGAGGCUCGAAAGUGUGGGUAGCAAACAGGAUUAGAUACCCUGGUAGUCCACACCGUAAACGAUGAUUACUAGGUGUUGGAGGAUUGACCCCUUCAGUGCCGCAGUUAACACAAUAAGUAAUCCACCUGGGGAGUACGACCGCAAGGUUGAAACUCAAAGGAAUUGACGGGGGCCCGCACAAGCAGUGGAGUAUGUGGUUUAAUUCGACGCAACGCGAAGAACCUUACCAAGUCUUGACAUCCCUUGACAGACAUAGAAAUAUGUAAUCUCUUCGGAGCAAGGAGACAGGUGGUGCAUGGUUGUCGUCAGCUCGUGUCGUGAGAUGUUGGGUUAAGUCCCGCAACGAGCGCAACCCUUAUGGUCAGUUACUACGCAAGAGGACUCUGGCCAGACUGCCGUUGACAAAACGGAGGAAGGUGGGGAUGACGUCAAAUCAUCAUGCCCUCUAUGACUUGGGCUACACACGUACUACAAUGGCGUUAAACAAAGAGAAGCAAGACCGCGAGGUGGAGCAAAACUCAGAAACAACGUCCCAGUUCGGACUGCAGGCUGCAACUCGCCUGCACGAAGUCGGAAUUGCUAGUAAUCGUGGAUCAGCAUGCCACGGUGAAUACGUUCCCGGGCCUUGCAC
Molecule: ribosomal RNA, 1337 nt
Filed under: uncultured bacterium
Lineage: Bacteria
Description: 16S ribosomal RNA
Rfam family: Bacterial small subunit ribosomal RNA
Source: RNAcentral